This 251-nucleotide ribosomal RNA is filed under the name uncultured bacterium. Its description in RNAcentral is "partial 16S ribosomal RNA". It matches the Rfam family "Bacterial small subunit ribosomal RNA", at positions 525 to 775 of the family's 1533-position model. The record is from RNAcentral. RNAcentral also lists the same sequence under 1 other name.
ACGUAGGGGGCAAGCGUUAUCCGGAUUUACUGGGUGUAAAGGGAGCGUAGACGGCACGGCAAGCCAGAUGUGAAAGCCCGGGGCUCAACCCCGGGACUGCAUUUGGAACUGCUGAGCUAGAGUGUCGGAGAGGCAAGUGGAAUUCCUAGUGUAGCGGUGAAAUGCGUAGAUAUUAGGAGGAACACCAGUGGCGAAGGCGGCUUGCUGGACGAUGACUGACGUUGAGGCUCGAAAGCGUGGGGAGCAAACAG